RNAcentral lists this long non-coding RNA (904 nucleotides) under Homo sapiens (human). RNAcentral's name for it is "HSALNT0388742". The record is from RNAcentral. Lineage: Eukaryota; Metazoa; Chordata; Mammalia; Primates; Hominidae.
CGACUCCUUAAGGGCCUGGCGCACAUAAGGGCCACAUCUGCCAGAGCCUGGAGUCUGCGAAGGCCGGGACCCGGUUCCCCGGCCCACAGUGGGGGUGUGCAAACCCGAGAGAACUGGGUUGCAAAUUCGUGAAGAAUCAGCAUCAUGUUUGGCAGCUGAGUAUUGGAGCCAGGAGCCUGCCAUGAGGUUUUGAGAACAGAGUGCUGUUUUAGAGCUGGCAGCAGCAUCUCAGCCCAAGAGAAGGUUAUAUUCCCAGAGGAUGUCAGUCCCAAGGACCAGUAGCUGCCAUCAGUUUGGAUUCUGAAAACUAACUGGCAUCAACACUGGGUGUAGAAACAUGCUUGCCUUAUGUAUCAGAGGACAUGCUCAGCAGAUCCAAGAGAUAUAUUUGGCAACUUUUUCUAGAAAAGGCACAUUGGGUAUCAUUCAUUACAUUCUUGAGUUUUUUUGGGUUUUUUUUUUUUUUUUUGAGACAGUCUUGCUGUAUUGCCCAGGCUGGAGUGUGGUGGCACAAUCACAGCUCAUUGCAUCCUCAAUCACCCAGGCCUAAGCAAUCCUCCCACCUUGUAGCUGGGACUACAGCUCACAGCACACCUGGCUAAAAUUUUUUUUUUGUUGAGACGGAUUCUCUAUGUUGCCCAGGCUGGUCUCAGGCUCCUGGGCUCAGAUGGUCCUCCUGCCUCAGCUUCCAAAGGCACAGGCCAAGUUGUAGCUUUGUCCCUUGCCAUCAUGCCCAACAAGAGGUUCUAUACCUUUUAAUGAAUUGACUUUCAUAAAUUGGUUAUGUUGGUGGGCAAAGUUCUUUAAGCUGGAAAUUGUAAAUUCCUCCUGAAAUGUUUUUUCAUGCAGUUACCAUGAACUAAUACUACAAUAAAGGAUGGUCUUGGGUGUCAAUUCUUGAAAA